Molecule: small RNA, 1527 nt
Filed under: Pan troglodytes (chimpanzee)
Lineage: Eukaryota; Metazoa; Chordata; Mammalia; Primates; Hominidae
Description: processed transcript
Source: RNAcentral
CAGAAAGGAUUUGGUGGUACUGGUUUUUAUGUAUGUGUGUGUUGUUUUUUAAAAAAAUUUUCUCCAAGGGACCUGGUCAAAGAUUUCAAGCCUUAAAUCUGAUCAACCCAAUCUGGGGCGGCGGCAGCUCAGUCUCUCCUCCUCGCUGUGCCAAUCUGUUUCUGUGGUGGCGGGUGGCGGCUCGGUGUUAAAUUUGGAGACCCCCGUGGGUUUCCCAUGCCGACCUGCAUAUGUCUGCAGGCACGGGGAAGGGAGGGCCGCAGACCCCCGUUGAGUCCCCGACUGCCAGCAGCAAGUUGCCGCAGGCGCACUGGCUCUGCAGCCCCGGGAUCAAGAGAGAACUCGAUGCCACCGCAACGGUAUUGGCGAACCGGCAGGAUGAAAGUGAGCAGUCCAGAAAGCGGCUUAUCGAACAGAGCCGGGAGUUCAAGAAGAACACUCCAGAGGAUUUGCGCAAGCAGGUAGCGCCGCUGCUGAAGAGUUUCCAAGGAGAGAUUGAUGCACUGAGUAAAAGAAGCAAGGAAGCUGAAGCAGCUUUCUUGAAUGUCUACAAAAGGUUGAUUGACGUCCCAGAUCCCGUACCAGCUUUGGAUCUCGGACAGCAACUCCAGCUCAAAGUGCAGCGCCUGCACGAUAUUGAAACAGAGAACCAGAAACUUAGGGAAACUCUGGAAGAAUACAACAAGGAAUUUGCUGAAGUGAAAAAUCAAGAGGUUACGAUAAAAGCACUUAAAGAGAAAAUCCGAGAAUAUGAACAGACACUGAAGAACCAAGCCGAAACCAUAGCUCUUGAGAAGGAACAGAAGUUACAGAAUGACUUUGCAGAAAAGGAGAGAAAGCUGCAGGAGACACAGAUGUCCACCACCUCAAAGCUGGAGGAAGCUGAGCAUAAGGUUCAGAGCCUACAAACAGCCCUGGAAAAAACUCGAACAGAAUUAUUUGACCUGAAAACCAAAUACGAUGAAGAAACUACUGCAAAGGCCGACGAGAUUGAAAUGAUCAUGACGGACCUUGAAAGGGCAAACCAGAGGGCAGAGGUGGCUCAGAGAGAGGCGGAGACCUUAAGGGAACAGCUCUCAUCGGCCAAUCACUCCCUCCAGCUGGCCUCACAGAUCCAGAAGGCACCAGACGUGGAGCAGGCCAUAGAGGUGCUGACCCGCUCCAGCCUAGAAGUUGAGUUGGCCGCCAAGGAGCGGGAGAUCGCACAGCUGGUGGAGGACGUGCAGAGACUCCAGGCCAGCCUCACCAAGCUGCGGGAGAAUUCGGCCAGCCAGAUCUCGCAGCUUGAGCAGCAGCUGAGCGCCAAAAACAGCACACUCAAACAACUGGAAGAAAAACUCAAAGGCCAGGCUGACUAUGAAGAGGUGAAGAAAGAGCUGAACAUUCUGAAGUCCAUGGAGUUUGCACCGUCCGAGGGCGCUGGGACACAGGAUGCGGCCAAGCCCCUGGAGGUGCUGUUGCUGGAGAAGAACCGCUCGCUGCAGUCCGAGAACGCCGCACUGCGCAUCUCCAACAGCGACCUGAGCG